Long non-coding RNA from Enhydra lutris kenyoni (northern sea otter), 1980 nucleotides. RefSeq lists it as uncharacterized. NCBI's taxonomy places the organism in Eukaryota, Metazoa, Chordata, Mammalia, Carnivora, Mustelidae. The transcript has 4 exons. The record is from RefSeq and is a predicted model, not a curated record.
AUUUCCCCCGGGCGACGGUUACCAGGGGAGCCCUCCGAAGACCCCGGAGGACGUCCGUCCUUGCGGUCCGCUCGCGCUCCUGAGGCUCCCGCCUCGUUUCGGUUUUCGGCUCGGGCGCUUGAGGCGACUGGGGUGCUGAGGAACGGCCGCAGGAGGAGGAGGCCGGUGGACGAGGGGCGGGCAGCUCUGGAGCCACACAGGGUCUGGGAGCCGAGCGCGUCCGAAAGCGGCGGGAGGGGCGGCCAGGACUCCGCGCUCCCGGCUGGUGCGGGUGGAGCGGCCGCCGCCUGCGGGGCCCAGUCGGACGCGAGCCUCGCGUCCCCGCCGCAGGCUGGCGGACGAGUAUUCGGGUGCGAGUCAAGACGGGGAAACGUGUCGCGUAAGUACAAAUAGUGGGGCUGAGAAUCGGCCACUGAACACUGCCAAAAUGGAAUGCGUUAUUCCGACUGGAAGUCGGUUCUCAUGAAUGGCGACAGAAAGACCGAGCGUGCAGCCUGCUGACCGUCCUAGGAACGACGGGAACACACACACACCGUUACCAGACUAGAGGCCUCGGACCGGAUCCCCCCCAGCCACUCCGGAGGAGAGUGGAGCCUCGGCUAUGAGCUGCUGGUGAGGGUGGAAGGCCAGCAGGGGUCCCUGAAAGGCCCCUCACUGGCGGGUGGUAGCCACAGCCCCAGGAAGUGGUCAGCUCAACUCCCCUCCUCCCACAGCAGCUCUCACAAGGCCACCGCGGAAGUUCCAAGUGCCAUGUCUGACCCCUGCCCCGAUUCCACAUUCUUCGUCUGGAUCGUUUACUACUCUGGGUCAUCUUAGAGUCAAGGUAGGAGCCCUUCGGCCUCUCCUGGUGACUGCACUUUCCUGUUCUGAGACUUGAUGCCUUGAAAGUGAGUCCCCAGAGUCCAGCCUUUUUUCCAAGUACAGGGGACAUUUCACUCGCUGUAACUGCUGAGUCCUUGCACCACGCCCUUCAGAAGUGGACAGAAACGAUUUUAAUUGCCCAGCAAGAGAGAGAGAUGCUGCGUGCCGCUGGUUCAUCGCCCUGCAGAGCCAGUGACAACAGAGGUCUACUAAUUCACUUAUCACCACAAAGUUCGGUCUCUGAGCCAGAGUCCCUCUUGCCCUCUGCCAAGCUGCCAGCAGCUCUGGGGAAGAUGAAGGAACUGAGCGCUGAGAGGUCGUGUCCUCAAGGCAGCUGGUGGAGAUGCCAGGGUGGGAACUCUGUCCGUCUUCAUGGCCGCACCCCAGCUUUGAUUGUUUUAACUCCCAGUGAAUGGCCCAUGGCCUUUCACGCGGUGCCUUCAUCAUGAACACAGCUCACACGUGAAUGUGGGACACGGCAUGGCCACCUCUGCUCUCGCUGGAGUGACAUUUUCACAUCAGCCCUUCUCACACCUCCCAUUUCCCGGUUUCCUGAUGUUUUUACAUUUUUAUUCUCCUGGGUAAACUUUAGAAUAAUUUCCUCCAGUUCCCAAAAAGACCUGUGGUCACUGAUUCCAUAGAUUGACAACUAACAUCUUUACAUUUUGAGGUUCUCUAGUUCAAAACAAGACUUCUUUAAUCUUAGAGUUUUAAGAUUUCAUUUGGGAACAACUAUUUUUUUAGGGUUCUUGAGAUGUAUUACCUGUACUAAUUUUCAGUUACUGCUUAACAAAUCACUGCAAACUUAGUGGCUGCCUUAGAACAGCACAUCCACUUAUCAUUCCAGUUUCUGUUGGUCCAGAGUCCAGCUCCAGUCCUGCCGUCAGCCAGGCAGCACCCUCGUCUGGACCUGGGGCCUUACCAGCUCAUUCAGGUUGCUAGGUAGAAGUCAUUUCUUUAUGAGUGAAGGACUAAAGUCCCUACUUUGUUGCUGGCUGCUGGCAGGGGGUUCCUCACAGCUCUUUUCACAAGACAACUUAAAAAAUUGUUUUUAAAUUGAAAUAAUACCCGAUCAGGGACCCUGACAUGGCGCUCAAUCCCAGGACCCCAGGAUCAUGA